RNAcentral lists this ribosomal RNA (423 nucleotides) under uncultured Glomeromycotina. RNAcentral describes it as "SSU rRNA". It matches the Rfam family "Eukaryotic small subunit ribosomal RNA", at positions 670 to 1092 of the family's 1831-position model. The record is from RNAcentral. Lineage: Eukaryota; Fungi; Glomeromycota.
CUGGUAUGCACUGGUGCUACUGAUUUCUCCCUUCUGAAGAACUAUCAUGCCAUUAAUUUGGUGUGGUAGGGAAUCAGGACUGUUACUUUGAAAAAAUUAGAGUGUUUAAAGCAGGCUCACGCUUGAAUACAUUAGCAUGGAAUAAUGAAAUAGGACGUUGAUCUUAUUUUGUUGGUUUCUAGGAUUGACGUAAUGAUUAAUAGGGAUAGUUGGGGGCAUUAGUAUUCAAUUGUCAGAGGUGAAAUUCUUGGAUUUAUUGAAGACUAACUACUGCGAAAGCAUUUGCCAAGGAUGUUUUCAUUAAUCAAGAACGAAAGUUAGGGGAUCGAAGACGAUCAGAUACCGUCGUAGUCUUAACCAUAAACUAUGCCGACUAGGGAUCGGAUGAUGUUAAUUUUUUAAUGACUCAUUCGGCGCCUUACG